Molecule: non-coding RNA, 28 nt
Filed under: Mus musculus (house mouse)
Lineage: Eukaryota; Metazoa; Chordata; Mammalia; Rodentia; Muridae
Source: RNAcentral
UAGGAUCAAAGGUUUGUGCACCACCGCC